UAAUAGUAUGGGGAUCUGCCCGAUAGAGGGGGAUAACUACUGGAAACGGUGGCUAAUACCGCAUAAUGUCUACGGACCAAAGCAGGGGCUCUUCGGACCUUGCACUAUCGGAUGAACCCAUAUGGGAUUAGCUAGUAGGUGGGGUAAAGGCUCACCUAGGCGACGAUCUCUAGCUGGUCUGAGAGGAUGAUCAGCCACACUGGGACUGAGACACGGCCCAG
Molecule: ribosomal RNA, 221 nt
Filed under: uncultured bacterium
Lineage: Bacteria
Description: partial 16S ribosomal RNA
Rfam family: Bacterial small subunit ribosomal RNA
Source: RNAcentral